RNAcentral lists this ribosomal RNA (494 nucleotides) under uncultured bacterium. RNAcentral's name for it is "bacterial SSU rRNA". It matches the Rfam family "Bacterial small subunit ribosomal RNA", at positions 791 to 1288 of the family's 1533-position model. The record is from RNAcentral.
UAGUCCACGCCGUAAACGAUGAUAACUAGCUGUCCGGGCUCAUAGAGCUUGGGUGGCGCAGCUAACGCAUUAAGUUAUCCGCCUGGGGAGUACGGUCGCAAGAUUAAAACUCAAAGGAAUUGACGGGGGCCUGCACAAGCGAUGGAGCAUGUGGUUUAAUUCGAAGCAACGCGCAGAACCUUACCAGCCUUUGACAUCCUUCGACGGUUUCGAGAGAUCGAUUCCUUCCUUCGGGACGAAGUGACAGGUGCUGCAUGGCUGUCGUCAGCUCGUGUCGUGAGAUGUUGGGUUAAGUCCCGCAACGAGCGCAACCCUCAUCCUUAGUUGCCAUCAUUUAGUUGGGCACUUUAAGGAAACUGCCGGUGAUAAGCCGGAGGAAGGUGGGGAUGACGUCAAGUCCUCAUGGCCCUUACAGGCUGGGCUACACACGUGCUACAAUGGCAUCUACAGUGAGCAGCGAUCCCGCGAGGUUAGCUAAUCUCCAAAAGAUGUCU